This 468-nucleotide ribosomal RNA is filed under the name uncultured bacterium. Its description in RNAcentral is "partial 16S ribosomal RNA". It matches the Rfam family "Bacterial small subunit ribosomal RNA", at positions 28 to 507 of the family's 1533-position model. The record is from RNAcentral.
GACGAACGCUGGCGGCGUGGUUAACACAUGCAAGUCGAACGGAAAGGCCCUGCUUUUGUGGGGUGCUCGAGUGGCGAACGGGUGAGUAACACGUGAGUAACCUGCCCUUGACUUUGGGAUAACUUCAGGAAACUGGGGCUAAUACCGGAUAGGAGCUCCUGCUGCAUGGUGGGGGUUGGAAAGUUUCGGCGGUUGGGGAUGGACUCGCGGCUUAUCAGCUUGUUGAUGGGGUAGUGGCUUACCAAGGCUUUGACGGGUAGCCGGCCUGAGAGGGUGACCGGCCACAUUGGGACUGAGAUACGGCCCAGACUCCUACGGGAGGCAGCAGUGGGGAAUAUUGCACAAUGGGCGGAAGCCUGAUGCAGCAACGCCGCGUGCGGGAUGACGGCCUUCGGGUUGUAAACCGCUUUCGCCUGUGACGAAGCGUGAGUGACGGUAAUGGGUAAAGAAGCACCGGCUAACUACGUG